RNAcentral lists this ribosomal RNA (768 nucleotides) under uncultured bacterium. RNAcentral's name for it is "bacterial SSU rRNA". It matches the Rfam family "Bacterial small subunit ribosomal RNA", at positions 28 to 776 of the family's 1533-position model. The record is from RNAcentral.
AUUGAACGCUGGCGGCAGGCCUAACACAUGCAAGUCGAGCGGAAACGAGUUAUCUGAACUUUCGGGGAACGAUAGCGGCGUCGAGCGGCGGACGGGUGAGUAAUGCCUAGGAAAUUGCCUGAUGUGGGGGAUAACCAUUGGAAACGAUGGCUAAUACCGCAUGAUGCCUACGGGCCAAAGAGGGGGACCUUCGGGCCUCUCGCGUCGGGAUAUGCCUAGGUGGGAUUAGCUAGUUGGUGAGGUAAGGGCUCACCAAGGCGACGAUCCCUAGCUGGUCUGAGAGGAUGAUCAGCCACACUGGAACUGAGACACGGUCCAGACUCCUACGGGAGGCAGCAGUGGGGAAUAUUGCACAAUGGGCGCAAGCCUGAUGCAGCCAUGCCGCGUGUGUGAAGAAGGCCUUCGGGUUGUAAAGCACUUUCAGUCGUGAGGAAGGUGGUAGUGUUAAUAGCACUAUCAUUUGACGUUAGCGACAGAAGAAGCACCGGCUAACUCCGUGCCAGCAGCCGCGGUAAUACGGAGGGUGCGAGCGUUAAUCGGAAUUACUGGGCGUAAAGCGCAUGCAGGUGGUUUGUUAAGUCAGAUGUGAAAGCCCGGGGCUCAACCUCGGAAUUGCAUUUGAAACUGGCAGACUAGAGUACUGUAGAGGGGGGUAGAAUUUCAGGUGUAGCGGUGAAAUGCGUAGAGAUCUGAAGGAAUACCGGUGGCGAAGGCGGCCCCCUGGACAGAUACUGACACUCAGAUGCGAAAGCGUGGGGAGCAAACAGG